RNAcentral lists this ribosomal RNA (691 nucleotides) under Flavobacterium sp. S126.08.BKT.W.Gill.N. Its description in RNAcentral is "bacterial SSU rRNA". It matches the Rfam family "Bacterial small subunit ribosomal RNA", at positions 60 to 752 of the family's 1533-position model. RNAcentral also lists the same sequence under 3 other names. The record is from RNAcentral. Lineage: Bacteria; Pseudomonadati; Bacteroidota; Flavobacteriia; Flavobacteriales; Flavobacteriaceae.
AGUCGAGGGGUAUAGUUCUUCGGAAUUAGAGACCGGCGCACGGGUGCGUAACGCGUAUGCAAUCUACCUUUUACAGAGGGAUAGCCCAGAGAAAUUUGGAUUAAUACCUCAUAGUAUAAUGACUUGGCAUCAAGACAUUAUUAAAGUCACAACGGUAAAAGAUGAGCAUGCGUCCCAUUAGCUAGUUGGUAAGGUAACGGCUUACCAAGGCUACGAUGGGUAGGGGUCCUGAGAGGGAGAUCCCCCACACUGGUACUGAGACACGGACCAGACUCCUACGGGAGGCAGCAGUGAGGAAUAUUGGACAAUGGGCGCAAGCCUGAUCCAGCCAUGCCGCGUGCAGGAUGACGGUCCUAUGGAUUGUAAACUGCUUUUAUACGAGAAGAAACACUACUUCGUGAAGUAGCUUGACGGUAUCGUAAGAAUAAGGAUCGGCUAACUCCGUGCCAGCAGCCGCGGUAAUACGGAGGAUCCAAGCGUUAUCCGGAAUCAUUGGGUUUAAAGGGUCCGUAGGCGGUUUAGUAAGUCAGUGGUGAAAGCCCAUCGCUCAACGGUGGAACGGCCAUUGAUACUGCUGAACUUGAAUUAUUAGGAAGUAACUAGAAUAUGUAGUGUAGCGGUGAAAUGCUUAGAGAUUACAUGGAAUACCAAUUGCGAAGGCAGGUUACUACUAAUUGAUUGACGCUGAUGG